UCUGGUGUCAGCCGCCGCGGUAAAACCAUCACCUCAAGUGGUCAGGAUGAUUAUUGGGCCUAAAGCAUCCGUAGCCUGUUCCAUAAGUUUUCGGUUAAAUCCAUUAGCUCAACUAAUGGGCCGCCGAAAAUACUGUGGAACUAGGGAGUGGGAGAGGUAGACGGUACUCGGUAGGAAGGGGUAAAAUCCUUUGAUCUAUUGAUGACCACCUGUGGCGAAGGCGGUCUACCAGAACACGUUCGACGGUGAGGGAUGAAAGCUGGGGGAGCAAACCGGAUUAGAUACCCGGGUAGUCCCAGCUGUAAACGAUGCAGACUCGGUGAUGCGCUGGCUUGUGGCCAGUGCAGUGCCGCAGGGAAGCCGUUAAGUUUGCCGCCUGGGAAGUACGUACGCAAGUAUGAAACUUAAAG
Molecule: ribosomal RNA, 410 nt
Filed under: uncultured Nitrososphaerota archaeon
Lineage: Archaea; Thermoproteati; Nitrososphaerota
Description: bacterial SSU rRNA
Rfam family: Archaeal small subunit ribosomal RNA
Source: RNAcentral